UACGGGGGGGGCAAGCGUUGUUCGGAAUUACUGGGCGUAAAGGGUGCGUAGGCGGCUUUCUAAGUUGGAUGUGAAAACUCUGGGCUCAACCCAGAACCUGCAUCCAAAACUGGAGAGCUAGGGUUCUGGAGGGGAAAGCGGAAUUCCUGGUGUAGCGGUGAAAUGCGUAGAUAUCAGGAGGAACACCGGUGGCGAAGGCGGCUUUCUGGACAGAUACCGACGCUGAGGCACGAAAGCUAGGGGAGCAAACAGG
RNAcentral lists this ribosomal RNA (253 nucleotides) under uncultured bacterium. Its description in RNAcentral is "partial 16S ribosomal RNA". It matches the Rfam family "Bacterial small subunit ribosomal RNA", at positions 524 to 776 of the family's 1533-position model. The record is from RNAcentral.